GCCCCUUUAGCUCAGCUGGCCAGAGCACCGCUCUUGUAAAGCGGGGGUCGUCGGUUCGAACCCGACAAGGGGCUCCA
This 77-nucleotide transfer RNA is filed under the name Actinomycetales bacterium. Its description in RNAcentral is "tRNA-Thr". It matches the Rfam family "tRNA". Rfam says of the family: Transfer RNA (tRNA) molecules are approximately 80 nucleotides in length. Lineage: Bacteria; Bacillati; Actinomycetota; Actinomycetes; Actinomycetales. The record is from RNAcentral.